AGUUAUUUAGCUUAAGAUUAAAGCAUGUAUUUUGAAAAUACAAGAUAGAGAUAUUUAAUGACUU
RNAcentral lists this transfer RNA (64 nucleotides) under Sophonia linealis. Its description in RNAcentral is "tRNA-Ser". It matches the Rfam family "tRNA". From Rfam's summary of the family: Transfer RNA (tRNA) molecules are approximately 80 nucleotides in length. Their secondary structure includes four short double-helical elements and three loops (D, anti-codon, and T loops). Further hydrogen bonds mediate the characteristic L-shaped molecular structure. tRNAs have two regions of fundamental functional importance: the anti-codon, which is responsible for specific mRNA codon recognition, and the 3' end, to which the tRNAs corresponding amino acid is attached (by aminoacyl-tRNA synthetases). tRNAs cope with the degeneracy of the genetic code in two manners: having more than one tRNA (with a specific anti-codon) for a particular amino acid; and 'wobble' base-pairing, i.e. permitting non-standard base-pairing at the 3rd anti-codon position. Lineage: Eukaryota; Metazoa; Arthropoda; Insecta; Hemiptera; Cicadellidae. The record is from RNAcentral.